UUAGGACAUAACGUUAGCUAGCUAGCUAACGGUACUGUACUGUAGCUCAUACAACGCCGACGGUCAAACCCGGCUUUCUAAUAUUUACGUUCAUUAACUAUAGUAACGUUAUGGAAGAUAUUCACAGAAAACUAUCAUUGUCUUCGUUAUUGAUUAUUAGUAUGUUAUAUUAUUAUUAUACAUUAUUUCGAGACAUAUUCAGAGCCAAACAUCAACCCAACUUAACCUUUUUAACUGUUGUCGCAUCCAAACUUGUCACCAUCGUUUUCAGUUGUAAUUGCGAAGUUCCCGGAAGAAGUCCAGCAACAACGGAGGUUCCUCGAUGAACCCACCUUCUAACAAGUUCUUUGAAGAACCUUUUGUGGCUGUUUUUUAUUGACCAAGAACCCUACGGUUCUUAGGGGAUCUGAGAACAACUCCAGUUGAACCCUUCAUUUUUAGAGUUGUAGUCGGCUCUAUUUACUCUCAGAUUCAAACAUGAUAAUUAGCAUCAACGAUCAAGUCAGCUGCUGCUGCUCCAAUACAGUAUGAGCCUUCCUCUCCUCUGAAGACCCAGUGAGGGUGGAGCUCAGUCAGAGAGCUGUUGAGGGACUGGUUAGGAAGAACACUUCUACAGCCAGAGAGGGACAGUCAAGAAAUGGAACAGCAAGGCC
This 653-nucleotide long non-coding RNA is filed under the name Salmo salar (Atlantic salmon). Its description in RNAcentral is "lncRNA (ENSSSAG00000098071.1)". The record is from RNAcentral. Lineage: Eukaryota; Metazoa; Chordata; Actinopteri; Salmoniformes; Salmonidae.